Molecule: ribosomal RNA, 1445 nt
Filed under: Salmonella enterica
Lineage: Bacteria; Pseudomonadati; Pseudomonadota; Gammaproteobacteria; Enterobacterales; Enterobacteriaceae
Description: partial 23S ribosomal RNA
Rfam family: Bacterial large subunit ribosomal RNA
Source: RNAcentral
GAAUGCUGACAUAAGUAACGAUAAAGCGGGUGAAAAGCCCGCUCGCCGGAAGACCAAGGGUUCCUGUCCAACGUUAAUCGGGGCAGGGUGAGUCGACCCCUAAGGCGAGGCCGAAAGGCGUAGUCGAUGGGAAACGGGUUAAUAUUCCCGUACUUGGUGUUACUGCGAAGGGGGGACGGAGAAGGCUAUGUUGGCCGGGCGACGGUUGUCCCGGUUUAAGCGUGUAGGUGUGUGUUCCAGGUAAAUCCGGUUCACUUUAACACUGAGGCGUGACGACGAGGCACUACGGUGCUGAAGCAACAAAUGCCCUGCUUCCAGGAAAAGCCUCUAAGCAUCAGGUAACAUCAAAUCGUACCCCAAACCGACACAGGUGGUCAGGUAGAGAAUACCAAGGCGCUUGAGAGAACUCGGGUGAAGGAACUAGGCAAAAUGGUGCCGUAACUUCGGGAGAAGGCACGCUGACACGUAGGUGAAGUGAUUUACUCAUGGAGCUGAAGUCAGUCGAAGAUACCAGCUGGCUGCAACUGUUUAUUAAAAACACAGCACUGUGCAAACACGAAAGUGGACGUAUACGGUGUGACGCCUGCCCGGUGCCGGAAGGUUAAUUGAUGGGGUCAGCGCAAGCGAAGCUCCUGAUCGAAGCCCCGGUAAACGGCGGCCGUAACUAUAACGGUCCUAAGGUAGCGAAAUUCCUUGUCGGGUAAGUUCCGACCUGCACGAAUGGCGUAAUGAUGGCCAGGCUGUCUCCACCCGAGACUCAGUGAAAUUGAACUCGCUGUGAAGAUGCAGUGUACCCGCGGCAAGACGGAAAGACCCCGUGAACCUUUACUAUAGCUUGACACUGAACAUUGAGCCUUGAUGUGUAGGAUAGGUGGGAGGCUUUGAAGUGUGGACGCCAGUCUGCAUGGAGCCGACCUUGAAAUACCACCCUUUAAUGUUUGAUGUUCUAACGUGGACCCGUGAUCCGGGUUGCGGACAGUGUCUGGUGGGUAGUUUGACUGGGGCGGUCUCCUCCUAAAGAGUAACGGAGGAGCACGAAGGUUGGCUAAUCCUGGUCGGACAUCAGGAGGUUAGUGCAAUGGCAUAAGCCAGCUUGACUGCGAGCGUGACGGCGCGAGCAGGUGCGAAAGCAGGUCAUAGUGAUCCGGUGGUUCUGAAUGGAAGGGCCAUCGCUCAACGGAUAAAAGGUACUCCGGGGAUAACAGGCUGAUACCGCCCAAGAGUUCAUAUCGACGGCGGUGUUUGGCACCUCGAUGUCGGCUCAUCACAUCCUGGGGCUGAAGUAGGUCCCAAGGGUAUGGCUGUUCGCCAUUUAAAGUGGUACGCGAGCUGGGUUUAGAACGUCGUGAGACAGUUCGGUCCCUAUCUGCCGUGGGCGCUGGAGAACUGAGGGGGGCUGCUCCUAGUACGAGAGGACCGGAGUGGACGCAUCACUGGUGUUCGGG